UACGGAGGGUGCGAGCGUUGCUCGGAAUUAUUGGGCGUAACGGGUAGGUAGGUGGUCUCGUUUGUCUGGGGUGAAAGCCUUGAGCUUAACUCAAGAAGUGCCCCAGAAACGGCGAGACUAGAGUUCUGGAGAGGGUCGUGGAAUUCCCGGUGUAGCGGUGAAAUGCGCAGAUAUCAGGAGGAACACCGGUGGCGAAGGCGGUUCUCUGGGAAUGACCUGACGCUGAGGAGCGAAAGUGUGGGGAGCGAACAGG
RNAcentral lists this ribosomal RNA (253 nucleotides) under uncultured bacterium. RNAcentral's name for it is "partial 16S ribosomal RNA". It matches the Rfam family "Bacterial small subunit ribosomal RNA", at positions 524 to 776 of the family's 1533-position model. The record is from RNAcentral.